UGCAGUCGAACGAGACCUUCGGGUCUAGUGGCGCACGGGUGCGUAACGCGUGGGAACCUGCCUUUAGGUUCGGAAUAACUCAGAGAAAUUUGAGCUAAUACCGGAUAAUGUCUUCGGACCAAAGAUUUAUCGCCUUUAGAUGGGCCCGCGUUGGAUUAGCUAGUUGGUGGGGUAAAGGCCUACCAAGGCGACGAUCCAUAGCUGGUCUGAGAGGAUGAUCAGCCACACUGGGACUGAGACACGGCCCAGACUCCUACGGGAGGCAGCAGUGGGGAAUAUUGGACAAUGGGCGAAAGCCUGAUCCAGCAAUGCCGCGUGAGUGAUGAAGGCCUUAGGGUUGUAAAGCUCUUUUACCAGGGAUGAUAAUGACAGUACCUGGAGAAUAAGCUCCGGCUAACUCCGUGCCAGCAGCCGCGGUAAUACGGAGGGAGCUAGCGUUGUUCGGAAUUACUGGGCGUAAAGC
This 463-nucleotide ribosomal RNA is filed under the name bacterium SL3.23. RNAcentral describes it as "bacterial SSU rRNA". It matches the Rfam family "Bacterial small subunit ribosomal RNA", at positions 56 to 566 of the family's 1533-position model. The record is from RNAcentral.